Molecule: ribosomal RNA, 445 nt
Filed under: uncultured bacterium
Lineage: Bacteria
Description: partial 16S ribosomal RNA
Rfam family: Bacterial small subunit ribosomal RNA
Source: RNAcentral
GUAAGGAAUAUUGGACAAUGGACGCAAGUCUGAUCCAGCCAUGCCGCGUGAAGGAUUAAGGUCCUCUGGACUGUAAACUUCUUUUAUAAGGGACGAAAAAACGCUUUUCUAAGUCGUCUGACGGUACCUUAUGAAUAAGCACCGGCUAACUCCGUGCCAGCAGCCGCGGUAAUACGGAGGGUGCAAGCGUUAUCCGGAUUCACUGGGUUUAAAGGGUGCGUAGGCGGGCAGGUAAGUCAGUGGUGAAAUCCUAGAGCUUAACUCUAGAACUGCCAUUGAUACUAUCUGUCUUGAAUAUUGUGGAGGUAAGCGGAAUAUGUCAUGUAGCGGUGAAAUGCUUAGAUAUGACAUAGAACACCUAUUGCGAAGGCAGCUUACUACGCAUAUAUUGACGCUGAGGCACGAAAGCGUGGGGAUCAAACAGGAUUAGAUACCCUGGUAGUCC